GGCCGGUUAGCUCACUCGGUUGGAGUGUGGUGCUGAUAACACCAAGAUCACGGGUUCAAUCCCUGCUCCGUCCC
Molecule: transfer RNA, 74 nt
Filed under: Apaloderma vittatum (bar-tailed trogon)
Lineage: Eukaryota; Metazoa; Chordata; Aves; Trogoniformes; Trogonidae
Rfam family: tRNA
About the family: Transfer RNA (tRNA) molecules are approximately 80 nucleotides in length. Their secondary structure includes four short double-helical elements and three loops (D, anti-codon, and T loops).
Source: Rfam by way of RNAcentral